UCAACUCAUACAUGCUUACGUACACACGUACAUAUACGUACACAUACAUACAUACGUACAAUGGACCUUUUUCCGCUAGAUCGGAGCAAUGUUUUGUAGAUCAAUUGGUAUUUCUUUUGUUACAUAUAAAAUAUUUCAGAAAAGUACGUGUUAUUAGGGACCAAAAUAAAAAUGGUUAUAUGAAUUUUACAUGGGAAAAGGGCAAAAGGAGAGACUUGAAAGGAAGCUCUUCUUCUAAGAAGCCAAUGAAUUAAGGAGUCUAUCAACAAUCUUGCUCUGAGCUUCCUCACCAUCUUUUUCUCCUCCUCAUCGUCAUCACUCAACAAGCCGAUGCAGAGUGAAAAGACAAAGAAUUAUCACAAUCUUUUUUAACUGAAUUCUUAAUUUAUUUCAUUAGCACCACCAUUUUUUCAACAAGAAAAUCCUUCUUCUCCGAAGUAGAAGGUAUGCAUGCAUGGUUGAACAGGAGGGUUUUAUGGUGGACUGUUGGAUAAAUUGGUGAUGAUAAGUGUAGAGAUCAAAGAUAAAUAAGAAAGACAAGUACUAAAAAAAAGAAGAGGAAGUCGAAUUUAAAUUCAUUUUUUUACCUCAAAAUGUGUAAAGAAAACGAUAGUGAUUUCUUUUUGUAUUUUGAGGGUAAUAAUAGCUCUUCAAUAGCUUUGUGAAUGAUAGUGAUAAAGAAGGAGAAGAAGAUGGUGAAGAAGCUCAGAGCAAAGUUGUUGAUAAAUCUCAAAAUUCUUUGUCUUCUUUGGAAGAAGCUCUUCCUUCCACGUCUCUCCUUUUGACCCUUUUCCCUUGGAAAAUUCAUUGAACUACCUUUUUAUUUCAGCCCCUAAUAACAUCGUCUCUCUUAUUCUGUAUUCAGAUCAGAAUAGCAUCCAUUGCUUUGAAAUGAACACAAAUGCUAAUAUAUAAA
This 916-nucleotide long non-coding RNA is filed under the name Nicotiana tabacum (common tobacco). RNAcentral describes it as "long non-coding RNA (NTAB_LNC010741)". The record is from RNAcentral. Lineage: Eukaryota; Viridiplantae; Streptophyta; Magnoliopsida; Solanales; Solanaceae.